Epinephelus moara (kelp grouper) is the source of this 829-nucleotide long non-coding RNA. RefSeq lists it as uncharacterized. The record is from RefSeq and is a predicted model, not a curated record. Lineage: Eukaryota; Metazoa; Chordata; Actinopteri; Perciformes; Serranidae. The transcript has 3 exons.
GAGUCUGCUCGCGGUGCAGACUUCACUGAUUUGAUAACCCACAAUUCACUGCAGUACGGACGUGAAGCUGUUUUUUCCAAUUGCUGAAAAAAGAAUUGACUGUGUAAAAUAGGCUGAAAAACUACAAAAGGUCUUCUAAUGUCAAUAAUACGUAAUUUAUUUCAUUAUAGUCAGUUAUAGUCCUGUCCUUGUUUACAAACAUUUGUGUUGUUGAACGCCUGUAGCAGAUUUUAUAGAGAUGUGUGAAUACAUUUUUGUUAAGUCAUAAAAAAGGUUUCACAUGGGAUUUAUAUCUGUUAUCUGCAGAGACAGAUGAGUUCGGCACGAUUCAGCUGCUCACAGUCUCUGUUCUCAGUCCGCAGGUCUGCGAGGGCUGAAUCUGCAGGUCUGCGAGGGCUCAGUCCGCAGGUCUGCCUGCGAGGGCUCAGUCCGCAGGUCUGUGAGGGCUCAGUCUGCAGGUCUGCGAGGGCUCAGUCCGCAGGUCUGCGAGGGCUCAGUUUGCAGGUCCAGAGGGACGACAUUUGGAUUCAGCCUCAAAGUUGCUGCUGAAAACUCGUCUCUUCUCGUUGGCGUUGACUGAUCUGAGCUUGACUUCUGAACUGACUUUAUUUCCUGUCGUGUCUCAUCCUCUGCUCUGCUGCUUUUUGUCUCUAUUAUGUUUGUUUUCUGUUGUUCUUGUUUUUGUUUACUUCUGGAUUUAUGUGUUUUGAUAUUAUUUGUGUUUUUCACAACUGUUUUUUUUUAAGAUAUGUUGUGGGGCUUUUUAGCCUUUAAUGGACAGGACAGACAAGCAUGAAGGGGAGAGAGAGGGAGGAUGACAUGCAGCAAA